AGCGAACGCUGGCGGCAGGCUUAACACAUGCAAGUCGAGCGGGCAUCCUUGUGGUGUCAGCGGCAGACGGGUGAGUAACGCGUGGGAACGUGCCCUUCGGUUCGGAAUAACUCAGGGAAACUUGAGCUAAUACCGGAUACGUGCGAGAGCAGAAAGGUUUAUCUGCCGAAGGAUCGGCCCGCGUCUGAUUAGCUAGUUGGUGAGGUUAUGGCUCACCAAGGCGACGAUCAGUAGCUGGUCUGAGAGGAUGAUCAGCCACACUGGGACUGAGACACGGCCCAGACUCCUACGGGAGGCAGCAGUGGGAAUAUUGGACAAUGGGGGCAACCCUGAUCCAGCCAUGCCGCGUGAGUGAUGACGGCCUUAGGGUUGUAAAGCUCUUUUCUCCGGGACGAUAAUGACGGUACCGGAGGAAUAAGCCCCGGCUAACUUCGUG
This 436-nucleotide ribosomal RNA is filed under the name uncultured bacterium. Its description in RNAcentral is "partial 16S ribosomal RNA". It matches the Rfam family "Bacterial small subunit ribosomal RNA", at positions 29 to 507 of the family's 1533-position model. The record is from RNAcentral.